CAUAAGUUGUUAAAACAUUGAUUUAAGAUAAAAACCAAACUACAGAGCCGUCCGACGGUUAAAUCAAUAGAUUUAUCAAAACGGAAUCUUCCAAAAUCGUGAGUGUAAAAAAGAGUGAGCAUACCAAAGCGUCUGAUUUUUGAAAUUGACAUUACAAGGUUAUUGCAAAGGAGAACAACACACUUUUGAUGAAGACAUGGAUUAACUCAAGCCGGUAGUUAAAUCUACCACUACGCCUCCGAAAGCUGCCAUCGAUGUCAGUAUGUUCGGUCAGUCGAGUGGGUUUUCAGAUAUGACGUUGGUUGUAGAAAACGUCCGCAUCCCUGUCAUCAAGGCCACUUUGAUGGUGACAUCACCUGUGUUUCGAGCUAUGCUACAGGCUGAUUGGAAGGAAAAGGAUCAGAAUGAAAUCCACCUUCCAGGCAAACGAUUGGAAAGCUUUAAUAUAUAUUUCUCCGUUGUAUUUACCCCGAUCUUAAGGACCGAGUUACAGCAAAUAAUGCCACAAUCAUUCUACCAUUGGCAUCGGAAUAUCAAGUCGUCAAAUUAAUGGAGCAAUGUGAAGAUUGCCUGCUUUCCUUGAUUGAACAAAAGACGAAUCUGUACAUGUCAUGCGAAAGUCUUUGUAAAUAUUUAAAUCUAGCUGAAAACUGCGACCGACAACGGCUAAGAGAAACGUGCGCCGUUUGGGUUUCUACAUUUCCACUUCAUGACAGAAAGCGCUACAUUGCACAAUAUAAGAUAUCAGCACAAAGUGAGCUCCAGAUCUCAAACUUGGCAUGUACAAGGCAUGAAAUUUUUGAAGCGGAUGUAAGGGCACUACAAAGAGAACAAUCCAAAGGACCAACUUAUGGGAUUGUUAAAAAAAAUACUACAUUUCAGUUUUAAUACGAAAAAGAAAAUACCGUCGCCGAAGUAUUUACUGGUUUACGAAUAGCUUAUUAUUUCUAUGGACGACAAUCAUUUGAGUAUAAAUCACGCAUCGACAACAUGCGUGAUAUAAGUUCGAAAUAUCCUAAUGAUAUUCCCGUUUACAAUGAAUUUAAAACUCUUCCUCACGAUAUGAAAUUCGACCUCCAAGAAAUAAUCCCUGGUUUCCGAAAGAUAUAAAGCUCUGUUAGUCAUAUUGAAGAAUGUGAUGCGUAUAUAAGAGCGUUUCUUUUUGUAAAAUAUUCUAUAUUUACAGAACCUACAGGAUUUAUGUUGAAUACAUUUCAAAGAUACCGUAUUGUGCUAGGCGCAGAUAAUUAACUCUGCGAAGCGAGCAGUGUUAUAGUGUCGAUCAUGAUUAAUAUGCCAAUUUAUUAUAACCUGGUAUUGAUGUAUUACCCCCUCCCCCUCUUGUUUAUAACUUUGGAAUGAUAUAUACGAUAUAUUUAACAUGGCCUUCACGAAAUUCUCUUGAGAUACUUGGAUAAUCGUAGAAUAUAAUUCUUAACUAAGAUCAAAAACAGCGUGCACGAUUGAUAUGGACAUUUUAGGCGAUCUGUAAAUAUUCAAGACUAGGAAAAGCAGACCAGUCGUGUUAUCGAUAACGUGAUAGUAACAGCGUAAGCCACGAACAGCUAGUGUUCACUAGAUCGAGACUCACUCUUAACUGGAACUGGCCAAAAAAGCUCCCUAAAUGUGACCUUUGAUCUCUUGAACGGACGGACGCACGCAGGCACGGACGGACGCACGCAUGACGGACACAGGACCAUGACAUAAGCCCCACUGGCCUUUGGCCAGUGGAGCUAAAAAUCAAUUCAGGAAGGGAGGGAGCACCCCUCCCUAA
Dreissena polymorpha is the source of this 1774-nucleotide long non-coding RNA. RefSeq lists it as uncharacterized. NCBI's taxonomy places the organism in Eukaryota, Metazoa, Mollusca, Bivalvia, Myida, Dreissenidae. The transcript has 3 exons. The record is from RefSeq and is a predicted model, not a curated record.